GGGUACGGGNAUUAGGGUUCGAUUCCGGAGAGGGAGCCUGAGAACGGCUACUACANUCCNAGGAAGGCAGCAGGCGCGCAAAUUACCCAAUCCCGACACGGGGAGGUAGUGACAAGAAAUAACAAACCAGGGCUCUUACGAGUCUUGUUAUUGGAAUGAGUACGAUUUAAAUCUCCCMWARMGAGGAACAWUUGGAGGGCAAGUCUGGUGCCAGCAGCCGCGGUAAUUCCAGCUCCAAUAGCGUAUAUUAAAGUUGUUGCAGUUAAAAAGCUCGUAGUUGAACUUCAGGCCUGUCCAGACGGUCCGCCUUAAUUGGUGUGUACUGUCCUUGGGUGGGUCCUGCCUUCUGGCGAAGCGGCAUGGCCUUAAUUGGUUGUGUCGGGGAACCANGACUUUUACUGUGAAAAAAUUGGAGUGUUCAAAGCANGCAAAUAUGCUCGAAUACAUUANCAUGGAAUAAUGGAAUANGACGAUGGUNNCNANUUUUGNUGGGU
RNAcentral lists this ribosomal RNA (494 nucleotides) under uncultured Glomeromycotina. Its description in RNAcentral is "partial small subunit ribosomal RNA". It matches the Rfam family "Eukaryotic small subunit ribosomal RNA", at positions 359 to 860 of the family's 1831-position model. Lineage: Eukaryota; Fungi; Glomeromycota. The record is from RNAcentral.